This 257-nucleotide long non-coding RNA is filed under the name Nicotiana benthamiana. RNAcentral describes it as "long non-coding RNA (NBEN_LNC019472)". Lineage: Eukaryota; Viridiplantae; Streptophyta; Magnoliopsida; Solanales; Solanaceae. The record is from RNAcentral.
AAACUUCUAACAUAAAUAACUGAGUCGUUCGCUAACUAACACAUCAACUUGUUAUGUUCUCAACACUUCCCCUCAAGUUGAUGCUUUGAAUAUAUUUUCAACUCCAAGUUGAUUCAAAAGAACUUCAUGAUAUGCUUUCCCAAUGCUCUUAAUCAGCAAAUCUGCUAGCUGACCUUUGUUGAGAGAGGAUAAGUUAUGAUUACUCCUUGGCUGUUUUUCUCACACAAAGUGACAUUCUACGUCUAUGUGUUUGGUUC